UUCGAUUCGAAUCAGGUACUGAUAAAUUUCAUACCAAGAUCUAUAUUCGUCGAGUUUUCGUUAGCAAAUGCUAACUCUAUUCGUUUAAUAUUGAAUAAAUCUUAUCCUAUUCACAUUCAAAUUUAAAUAAAAUUUCGAGUAUCCGUAUCCAUCGACAUCCGGAUGAAGGAUGCCAAUGCCCUAGUAAGUAUCAGUGCUAAAAAAAUUUAAUAAAAAAAUAACCAAUUACACCACACCUCGAAAUUCGGCACGACACGUUUCUCAAAACAAACAUUAUGUACAUCCUCCAUGUUGUUACAUAUACUAAUGAUUUACACAACCAUCUUUUUUUUUUUUUUUCCAAAUUCGAAAAUCUUAAAUUUAUACAGAACGAUAUUUUUAUAUUUUAUAAUUUUACGAAAAACUACGACAAAUUGACCUUCCACCCUCUCUCUCUCUUUUUAAGACCAGCAGCUGAAUUGAAGGGACUCCUCAAACUUAUCUUCUAAGGAUGGAGCGCAUGUCGAUGCGACGCGAUCCGUAACUUCUUCGGUUGUCGUUCCCAACUCCGAUCGUCGCAAGAAAAGACGGGAAGCUCCAAAUUUGGACGCUUUCGAACUGAAAAAAGAAGCGAUCGCAGCAGAAGUAGCGGCAGUAGCAGUAGCGACAGCGCCCGCAGCAGCAGUAGUGCUAAAAUUAGUAGUACUUGUUAUCAGAGUGUUAGGAUUGGGAUAAUGAGUGGUGGGUGUGGUUCGGCAGUGGUGGUAGCCAAGGAAGAGCAUUGCAGCAGUAGGAGCCAUAGAAACAAUUGUACAGAAAAAAAAAAGAAAAAGAAAAGUGGCCUAAUUAGGAGUGAGUAAAUAAAAUAGGAGAAAAGCUCCCCAUAACCCCUCUCUAUUUAUAGAGAAGAGUAGUGAGGUUUUAUUAUUAUUAUUAUUUUUUAAAAAAUUUUAUUAAUCAAUGAUUGAGGUUUGGAUGUGCUGUAAUGCGGGUUGGAUGAGAGAAUCUGUGGGUGGGUGCAGCUGAGUUGUCCAAAUCAAUGGGUUGUGUUGUUUCACGUGACUACUUAGAAAAGCCUCUGGUUUGUUA
Molecule: long non-coding RNA, 1068 nt
Filed under: Ananas comosus (pineapple)
Lineage: Eukaryota; Viridiplantae; Streptophyta; Magnoliopsida; Poales; Bromeliaceae
Description: long non-coding RNA (ACOM_LNC019175)
Source: RNAcentral